RNAcentral lists this ribosomal RNA (253 nucleotides) under uncultured bacterium. RNAcentral describes it as "partial 16S ribosomal RNA". It matches the Rfam family "Bacterial small subunit ribosomal RNA", at positions 524 to 776 of the family's 1533-position model. The record is from RNAcentral.
UACGGGGGGGGCAAGCGUUGUUCGGAAUUACUGGGCGUAAAGGGCGCGUAGGCGGUUGGAUAAGUCAGCUGUGAAAACCACGGGCUUAACUCGUGGCCUGCAGUGGAGACUGUCUGGCUUGAGUGUGGGAGAGGAGAGUGGAAUUCCUGGUGUAGCGGUGAAAUGCGUAGAUAUCAGGAGGAACACCGGUGGCGAAGGCGGCUCUCUGGACCACAGCUGACGCUGAGGCGCGAAAGCUAGGGGAGCAAACAGG